Rhincodon typus (whale shark) is the source of this 207-nucleotide long non-coding RNA. RefSeq lists it as uncharacterized. Lineage: Eukaryota; Metazoa; Chordata; Chondrichthyes; Orectolobiformes; Rhincodontidae. The record is from RefSeq and is a predicted model, not a curated record. The transcript has 3 exons.
UGGCUGUUUUUCUUUACAGAGAUGAAGCUAUGCGGACAGCUGGCACUCCAAUCACCAAAUCCAGCAAAGAUAUGGAAAACCAUGUCUUCCUGAAAGCAAAGACAAGGGAGGAGUAUCUUAGUUUGGUGGCAAGGCUUAUUCUGCACUUUCGAGACAUUCAUAAGAAGAGUCGAGCUGGUGGUAAGCAGUGUUUAAUUCCAAACUUUG